RNAcentral lists this long non-coding RNA (2772 nucleotides) under Sus scrofa (pig). RNAcentral describes it as "lncRNA (ENSSSCG00050001370.1)". Lineage: Eukaryota; Metazoa; Chordata; Mammalia; Artiodactyla; Suidae. The record is from RNAcentral.
GGCUCCCACUUACUGUUAACGGCUGUCUUGGUAUUUUGCAAAUAGACUGGUGUUUCCUAAAUUUUUCUGAUGUGCGUGCGCACUCCUGUGAGUGUUUGUGUGUGUGAGUGUGUGUGUGUGUGUGUGUGAGCAAGUGCACGUGUGUUCAUCUCAGCGAUAACCUAGAAAGGUGAACUAAGCAGCUAAGGCUCUUCUGGGUGACCACCUUACAGGCCAUCAGAGGUGCAUCACCACGCCUGUGUUUGCAUUCUGAGCCGGUGGUGACUUUGGCCUGACUCUAUCUUAUGCACAAGGAAACUGAGGCUCAGGGGAGCGUGGGGGUGUGCCUCGGCUGCACAGCCCUGUGGGUGCAGGCCUGAGGGGUGUUGUGGGGCCCCGUCCCCUCCCACACUGGCCUCUGCCUCUGCCUCUCGCCCCUGUCAUCAUUCCUGGGACGUGGGCUCUAAAUCUGAUUUGAUUACUGAGGACAAACUAGCUUAUAAAAUGCUGCAGAGCAGUGUCUUUCCUCUCCGAGAACUGGAUAUAAUAAAGUUGGCUUGAUCUCCCCAGCCUGUAUCUUGAGGGAACAAGUAAAUUAAACAAGUAAUUAUAUCCAUAAUGUUUUUAGAAGUUAGAAGAUUUAAAUAUAUGAAUCUCAUCUGAGCUUGCUGCCUUUUGUCUGCGGUGUUUCCUGCCAAAAGAUCUCUUGACAGGAAAUAAACAUUAAAAUAAUCUUUAAUCCCUUGUCUGGUCUAUUACCAUUAACAAUUGAUGCACUUUAAUUUUGUGGGAUUUUAACUACAAAAUGGAACGGCUAAGUAGUGAUAAUUGGGUUUGGAAUUAUACGGUCAUUUAUAUCAACAGAGAUGCAAGAGGCUGGGAGGGAGGGUGAUUAAUUAUUUACUCUUUCCUGGCUGUGGUUCCUAUUAUAGAAUUUUCUGAUAUGUUCUGCUGUGAACAAUUAUCACCAAAUGAAAGUAAACAAAUCUGUGAUCUGAAGCCUUAUUUAGAAGUUAGUCUAUAUUUAGGUGAUCAGGGCUUGGUUUUCAUGGACCCUGUGGGCUGGGCGCAUUCCUUUUCUCAGGGUCCCGCCAGCUCUGAAUUUGAAUAUGCUUCUCUCUCUGCAUCUUAAAAACUCUAGAACAUGCAGCCCUGGGGAGACCCCUCGGUUUGCCAGGGGAGGACCACACCAGCCCUGAGCCAGAUCUCUGGUCAGUGCCAGCGAUGUAUCUGGGAGGGGGGCCUGGGUGGAUCCUCCGCAUCCCUGGCUUGCUGCAUCACGGCGCGGCGGCGCGGGGAGACCCAGGAGCAAAAUGGGUGUGUCCGCCUGAGAGCAAGGGUGGUGCUCUGAUUUCUCUGCGUGCGAGUGGGUGCUCAUGGAGCCCCCCUUCCUGCCUCCGUCUCCCCGUCCUCGUUCAGUGACCCAUCCACGCUGUGAUCAGGCCUUUGCAGGGGGCAGUCACCCAUCCGACACGCACUCCCCUUCUGCCUCGCUUGGUGGUGACCCGCAUCCGUAGAGCACACCCGCGUAUCUUUUUGCCUCUCCCUCCAUGUGACUCCUUCCAAAGCCAGGGGCCGGCAUCCUUAAGUAGACAGAUCCCUCUGAUGUGCGGGGAUCGAUGGGUCCUGGGUACCAUGUGUUCCCUGGGAAGUGGCAGGACGCGUAAAGCAAAGGGGUGGGCACAAGCCAUGCCGAGCGUCACUCGGACAGUCAUGGUCCAUUCCCAGGCUCUGUGCCGUCAGGGCCUGGGACCAGACGUGUGAUAAGCAAGGUUGCCCUCCGGGGUCACGCCCUCAUGUAAUUCUGCGCGUGACAAGCCCUCUCCUGGUGCCUGUCUACCUGCCCAAUGAGCAGCUGCUCCCGCAUCCACCUGCAGGGUCCCCCAGCCAGGGACUGUCUUGGUGCCUCCCCCGCCCCAGAUGUCCUGCCAUCACUGAUUGGUCACUCCCUGCCUCCGGUCCAACCACGGUCCUCCUCCUCAGCAUCACCACCCUGGCCGCGGUCACCGUCAUGCCUGGCCUGGGUCACGGCCGUCCUCCCUCCCUGGUCUCCACACUCCCAGCAGCCUGGGCCCCGCAGGUGCAGGUCGUAGGCCCCCCUGCUCUUCCCUGCAGGCGAUUCUCAAAGGAGGCAGAGCCCACCUUGCCUUGCGUAGCUUGGGAGGCGGAGCAGAGCAUGGCCGGGGACCCCCAGGGGCCACACCUGACUCUUGGUGUGUUGUUCUUGUUUAUGACUAGCUCACUGUCAUCGGGGGGUAGAGUGUGGAUGUUGGUGGGGACGACCCCGUGAGGAGGAAUCGAGCGGUGCUGGACACACGGGAGACGCGGGACUCAGGGGCCAAGAGACUUUGCUGUUUGACCUUCUCUCCGAGUUUCUCACCCUCAGGCUAUUGAUUUGCGGUGUGGGUAACUCGGCUGUAGGGCCUUCCUGUGCCUUGCGGGACGCUUCCCAGCAACCCUGGCCUCUCCUCACUAGAUGCCAGUCGCUCCCGCCUCCCUCCCAAGUCCUAAAAAGCCAAAGAUGUCUGUAGGUGCUGCCAGAUAUCCCUUGGGCAGAGGGCAAACCAACCCCCAGUUGAGAAGCCCUGCUUUACACCCUUCUCCACAGUUUAGGUGUCCCCCCGCCCCAAGAAGAGAGUAUUUACACCAUUCUAUAAUGGAACCAGAGAAAGUGUUGAUGGAACCAGAAUGCUGACGUGAACCCCUGCUUCAGUGAUGCCCGUUAAUGUACCAGGCCCUACUCUGGACACUUGGUCUGUGUGCAGUAAUUCAUUCCUCCAAGAAUUCCAUAAG